Molecule: long non-coding RNA, 412 nt
Organism: Canis lupus familiaris (dog)
Lineage: Eukaryota; Metazoa; Chordata; Mammalia; Carnivora; Canidae
Exons: 2
Source: RefSeq, a predicted model, not a curated record
UUUCCCCCAGCCGCAAAACACAGAGCCUCCAUGCACCAGGUGAAGAAAGAGAACUUUGAAGAGAUGUCACCUCACUUCUCUCCAGCCCUUGCUCAGCCAGAAAGGACCUGGGAUACCUGAAAGCAGAAGCAGGAAGACUCUUCUCAUGGGUGCUGAGGAAAAGGGUGCCAGAUGAAGUUGGAGGCUGGAAAGAAUGAUGUUUCAGAGAGAGAGAGAGAAUGCACAAGCAGAGGGAGGAGCAGAGGAAGAAGGAGAAGCACAAUCCUCGAUGAAUAAAGAGCCCUACACAGGCUCAAUCCCAGGACCCACGAUCAUGACCCAAACUGAAGGAACACAUUUAACUGAUGCAACCAACCAGGCACUCUGAGUCAUAGUUUAAAAUGAUUAAAAAAGUAAAAUUUAUGUUAUGUAA